Molecule: ribosomal RNA, 490 nt
Filed under: uncultured bacterium
Lineage: Bacteria
Description: partial 16S ribosomal RNA
Rfam family: Bacterial small subunit ribosomal RNA
Source: RNAcentral
AGUGAACGCUGGCGGUAGGCCUAACACAUGCAAGUCGAACGGCAGCACAGUAAGAGCUUGCUCUUACGGGUGGCGAGUGGCGGACGGGUGAGGAAUACAUCGGAAUCUACUUUUUCGUGGGGGAUAACGUAGGGAAACUUACGCUAAUACCGCAUACGACCUACGGGUGAAAGCAGGGGAUCUUCGGACCUUGCGCGAUUGAAUGAGCCGAUGUCGGAUUAGCUAGUUGGCGGGGUAAAGGCACCAAGGCGACGAUCCGUAGCUGGUCUGAGAGGAUGAUCAGCCACACUGGAACUGAGACACGGUCCAGACUCCUACGGGAGGCAGCAGUGGGGAAUAUUGGACAAUGGGCGCAAGCCUGAUCCAGCCAUACCGCGUGGGUGAAGAAGGCCUUCGGGUUGUAAAGCCCUUUUGUUGGGAAAGAAAAGCAGCAGGUUAAUACCCCGCUGUUCUGACGGUACCCAAAGAAUAAGCACCGGCUAACUUCGUG